Molecule: ribosomal RNA, 2905 nt
Filed under: Salmonella enterica subsp. enterica serovar Infantis
Lineage: Bacteria; Pseudomonadati; Pseudomonadota; Gammaproteobacteria; Enterobacterales; Enterobacteriaceae
Description: 23S ribosomal RNA
Rfam family: Bacterial large subunit ribosomal RNA
Source: RNAcentral
GGGUUGUGAGGUUAAGCGACUAAGCGUACACGGUGGAUGCCCUGGCAGUCAGAGGCGAUGAAGGACGUGCUAAUCUGCGAUAAGCGCCGGUAAGGUGAUAUGAACCGUUAUAACCGGCGAUUUCCGAAUGGGGAAACCCAGUGUGAUUCGUCACACUAUCAUUAACUGAAUCCAUAGGUUAAUGAGGCGAACCGGGGGAACUGAAACAUCUAAGUACCCCGAGGAAAAGAAAUCAACCGAGAUUCCCCCAGUAGCGGCGAGCGAACGGGGAGGAGCCCAGAGCCUGAAUCAGCAUGUGUGUUAGUGGAAGCGUCUGGAAAGGCGCGCGAUACAGGGUGACAGCCCCGUACACAAAAGCGCAUGUGCUGUGAGCUCGAUGAGUAGGGCGGGACACGUGGUAUCCUGUCUGAAUAUGGGGGGACCAUCCUCCAAGGCUAAAUACUCCUGACUGACCGAUAGUGAACCAGUACCGUGAGGGAAAGGCGAAAAGAACCCCGGCGAGGGGAGUGAAAAAGAACCUGAAACCGUGUACGUACAAGCAGUGGGAGCNGUGACUGCGUACCUUUUGUAUAAUGGGUCAGCGACUUAUAUUCUGUAGCAAGGUUAACCGAAUAGGGGAGCCGGAGGGAAACCGAGUCUUAAUUGGGCGUUAAGUUGCAGGGUAUAGACCCGAAACCCGGUGAUCUAGCCAUGGGCAGGUUGAAGGUUGGGUAACACUAACUGGAGGACCGAACCGACUAAUGUUGAAAAAUUAGCGGAUGACCUGUGGCUGGGGGUGAAAGGCCAAUCAAACCGGGAGAUAGCUGGUUCUCCCCGAAAGCUAUUUAGGUAGCGCCUCGUGAAUUCAUCUCCGGGGGUAGAGCACUGUUUCGGCUAGGGGGCCAUCCCGGCUUACCAACCCGAUGCAAACUGCGAAUACCGGAGAAUGUUAUCACGGGAGACACACGGCGGGUGCUAACGUCCGUCGUGAAGAGGGAAACAACCCAGACCGCCAGCUAAGGUCCCAAAGUCAUGGUUAAGUGGGAAACGAUGUGGGAAGGCCCAGACAGCCAGGAUGUUGGCUUAGAAGCAGCCAUCAUUUAAAGAAAGCGUAAUAGCUCACUGGUCGAGUCGGCCUGCGCGGAAGAUGUAACGGGGCUAAACCAUGCACCGAAGCUGCGGCAGCGANGUUGGGUAGGGGAGCGUUCUGUAAGCCUGUGAAGGUGGCCUGUGAGGGUUGCUGGAGGUAUCAGAAGUGCGAAUGCUGACAUAAGUAACGAUAAAGCGGGUGAAAAGCCCGCUCGCCGGAAGACCAAGGGUUCCUGUCCAACGUUAAUCGGGGCAGGGUGAGUCGACCCCUAAGGCGAGGCCGAAAGGCGUAGUCGAUGGGAAACGGGUUAAUAUUCCCGUACUUGGUGUUACUGCGAAGGGGGGACGGAGAAGGCUAUGUUGGCCGGGCGACGGUUGUCCCGGUUUAAGCGUGUAGGUGUGUGUUCCAGGUAAAUCCGGUUCACUUUAACACUGAGGCGUGAUGACGAGGCACUACGGUGCUGAAGCAACAAAUGCCCUGCUUCCAGGAAAAGCCUCUAAGCAUCAGGUAACAUCAAAUCGUACCCCAAACCGACACAGGUGGUCAGGUAGAGAAUACCAAGGCGCUUGAGAGAACUCGGGUGAAGGAACUAGGCAAAAUGGUGCCGUAACUUCGGGAGAAGGCACGCUGACACGUAGGUGAAGUGAUUUACUCAUGGAGCUGAAGUCAGUCGAAGAUACCAGCUGGCUGCAACUGUUUAUUAAAAACACAGCACUGUGCAAACACGAAAGUGGACGUAUACGGUGUGACGCCUGCCCGGUGCCGGAAGGUUAAUUGAUGGGGUCAGCGCAAGCGAAGCUCCUGAUCGAAGCCCCGGUAAACGGCGGCCGUAACUAUAACGGUCCUAAGGUAGCGAAAUUCCUUGUCGGGUAAGUUCCGACCUGCACGAAUGGCGUAAUGAUGGCCAGGCUGUCUCCACCCGAGACUCAGUGAAAUUGAACUCGCUGUGAAGAUGCAGUGUACCCGCGGCAAGACGGAAAGACCCCGUGAACCUUUACUAUAGCUUGACACUGAACAUUGAGCCUUGAUGUGUAGGAUAGGUGGGAGGCUUUGAAGCGUGGACGCCAGUCUGCGUGGAGCCGACCUUGAAAUACCACCCUUUAAUGUUUGAUGUUCUAACGUGGACCCGUAAUCCGGGUUGCGGACAGUGUCUGGUGGGUAGUUUGACUGGGGCGGUCUCCUCCUAAAGAGUAACGGAGGAGCACGAAGGUUGGCUAAUCCUGGUCGGACAUCAGGAGGUUAGUGCAAUGGCAUAAGCCAGCUUGACUGCGAGCGUGACGGCGCGAGCAGGUGCGAAAGCAGGUCAUAGUGAUCCGGUGGUUCUGAAUGGAAGGGCCAUCGCUCAACGGAUAAAAGGUACUCCGGGGAUAACAGGCUGAUACCGCCCAAGAGUUCAUAUCGACGGCGGUGUUUGGCACCUCGAUGUCGGCUCAUCACAUCCUGGGGCUGAAGUAGGUCCCAAGGGUAUGGCUGUUCGCCAUUUAAAGUGGUACGCGAGCUGGGUUUAGAACGUCGUGAGACAGUUCGGUCCCUAUCUGCCGUGGGCGCUGGAGAACUGAGGGGGGCUGCUCCUAGUACGAGAGGACCGGAGUGGACGCAUCACUGGUGUUCGGGUUGUCAUGCCAAUGGCACUGCCCGGUAGCUAAAUGCGGAAGAGAUAAGUGCUGAAAGCAUCUAAGCACGAAACUUGCCCCGAGAUGAGUUCUCCCUGAGACUUAGAGUCUCCUGAAGGAACGUUGAAGACGACGACGUUGAUAGGCCGGGUGUGUAAGCGCAGCGAUGCGUUGAGCUAACCGGUACUAAUGAACCGUGAGGCUUAACCUUACAACGCCGAAG